Molecule: ribosomal RNA, 254 nt
Filed under: uncultured bacterium
Lineage: Bacteria
Description: partial 16S ribosomal RNA
Rfam family: Bacterial small subunit ribosomal RNA
Source: RNAcentral
GACAGAGGGUGCAAACGUUGUUCGGAAUUACUGGGCGUAAAGCGCACGUAGGCGGAUUGGAAAGUUGGGGGUGAAAUCCCGGGGCUCAACCCCGGAACUGCCUUCAAAACUCCCGAGUCUGGAGGUCGAGAGAGGUGAGUGGAAUUCCGAGUGUAGAGGUGAAAUUCGUAGAUAUUCGGAGGAACACCAGUGGCGAAGGCGGCUCACUGGCUCGAUACUGACGCUGAGGUGCGAAAGCUAGGGGGGCAAACAGG